RNAcentral lists this ribosomal RNA (468 nucleotides) under uncultured bacterium. RNAcentral describes it as "partial 16S ribosomal RNA". It matches the Rfam family "Bacterial small subunit ribosomal RNA", at positions 28 to 507 of the family's 1533-position model. The record is from RNAcentral.
GACGAACGCUGGCGGCGUGCUUAACACAUGCAAGUCGAACGGAAAGGCCCUGCUUUUGUGGGGUGCUCGAGUGGCGAACGGGUGAGUAACACGUGAGUAACCUGCCCUUGACUUUGGGAUAACUUCAGGAAACUGGGGCUAAUACCGGAUAGGAGCUCCUGCUGCAUGGUGGGGGUUGGAAAGUUUCGGCGGUUGGGGAUGGACACGCGGCUUAUCAGCUUGUUGGUGGGGUAGUGGCUUACCAAGGCUUUGACGGGUAGCCGGCCUGAGAGGGUGACCGGCCACAUUGGGACUGAGAUACGGCCCAGACCCCUACGGGAGGCAGCAGUGGGGAAUAUUGCACAAUGGGCGGAAGCCUGAUGCAGCAACGCCGCGUGCGGGAUGACGGCCUUCGGGUUGUAAACCGCUUUCGCCUGUGACGAAGCGUGAGUGACGGUAAUGGGUAAAGAAGCACCGGCUAACUACGUG